AUUGAACGCUGGCGGCAUGCCUUACACAUGCAAGUCGAACGGUAACGCGGGGCAACCUGGCGACGAGUGGCGAACGGGUGAGUAAUGCAUCGGAACGUGCCCAGAAGUGGGGGAUAGCCCGGCGAAAGCCGGAUUAAUACCGCAUGAGACCUGAGGGUGAAAGCGGGGGAUCGCAAGACCUCGCGCUUUUGGAGCGGCCGAUGUCAGAUUAGCUAGUUGGUGGGGUAAAGGCCUACCAAGGCGACGAUCUGUAGCUGGUCUGAGAGGACGACCAGCCACACGGGGACUGAGGCACGGCCCUGACUCGUGCGGGAGGAAGCAGUGGGGAAUUUUGGACAAUGGGCGCAAGCCUGAUCCAGCCAUGCCGCGUGCGGGAAGAAGGCCUUCGGGUUGUAAACCGCUUUUGUCAGGGAAGAAACGCUCUGGGCUAGUACCCUGGGGUAAUGACGGUACCUGAAGAAUAAGCACCGGCUAACUACGUGCCAGCCGCCGCGGUAA
This 498-nucleotide ribosomal RNA is filed under the name uncultured bacterium. Its description in RNAcentral is "partial 16S ribosomal RNA". It matches the Rfam family "Bacterial small subunit ribosomal RNA", at positions 29 to 523 of the family's 1533-position model. The record is from RNAcentral.